This 210-nucleotide unclassified non-coding RNA is filed under the name Glomeromycotina sp. RNAcentral's name for it is "partial contains 5.8S ribosomal RNA and internal transcribed spacer 2". The stretch from base 1 to 71 matches the Rfam family "5.8S ribosomal RNA", at positions 84 to 154 of the family's 154-position model. The record is from RNAcentral. Lineage: Eukaryota; Fungi; Glomeromycota.
GUGAAUCAUCAAAUUUUUGAACGCAAAUUGCACUCUCUGGUAUUCCGGAGAGUAUGCCUGUUUGAGGGUAAGUUUAAAUAAAAAUCGGUGUGGUUGUUGCCUUUAGUGGUGACGAACUGGAUGUGGGUAGUCUUGUCUUUGGUUAUAUGACCUAAAAUCUUGUAUGAUUUUAUUCGAACGUAAUUAAAUGUUUUUAAGUACGUUUGCAUU